RNAcentral lists this ribosomal RNA (327 nucleotides) under uncultured eukaryote. RNAcentral describes it as "partial 18S ribosomal RNA". It matches the Rfam family "Eukaryotic small subunit ribosomal RNA", at positions 1470 to 1796 of the family's 1831-position model. The record is from RNAcentral.
CCCUUAGAUGUUCUGGGCCGCACACGUGCUACACUGAAGGAGGCAGCGUGUACUCCUGGAUCGAAAGAUUUGGGUAACCCGCGAAUCUCCUUCGUGCUAGGGAUUGAGGUUUGCAAUUAUCCUUCAUGAACGAGGAAUUCCCAGUAAGUGCAAGUCAUAAGCUUGCGCUGACUACGUCCCUGCCCUUUGUACACACCGCCCGUCGCUACUACCGAUUGAAUGAUUUAGUGAGGACUUCGGACUGGGACCGAUGCGGCUUUCGGGCUGCGUCGGUAUUCUGGAAAGAUGUCCAAACUGUAUCAUUUAGAGGAAGUAAAAGUCGUAACA